GAUGAACGCUGGCGGCGUGCCUAAUACAUGCAAGUCGAGCGAACAGACGAGGAGCUUGCUCCUCUGACGUUAGCGGCGGACGGGUGAGUAACACGUGGAUAACCUACCUCUAAGACUGGGAUAACUUCGGGAAACCGGAGCUAAUACCGGAUAAUAUAUUGAACCGCAUGGUUCAAUAGUGAAAGACGGUUUUGCUGUCACUUAUAGAUGGAUCCGCGCCGCAUUAGCUAGUUGGUAAGGUAACGGCUUACCAAGGCAACGAUGCGUAGCCGACCUGAGAGGGUGAUCGGCCACACUGGAACUGAGACACGGUCCAGACUCCUACGGGAGGCAGCAGUAGGGAAUCUUCCGCAAUGGGCGAAAGCUUGACGGAGCAACGCCGCGUGAGUGAUGAAGGUCUUCGGAUCGUAAAACUCUGUUAUUAGGGAAGAACAAAUGUGUAAGUAACUAUGCACGUCUUGACGGUACCUAAUCAGAAAGCCACGGCUAACUACGUG
Molecule: ribosomal RNA, 497 nt
Filed under: uncultured bacterium
Lineage: Bacteria
Description: partial 16S ribosomal RNA
Rfam family: Bacterial small subunit ribosomal RNA
Source: RNAcentral